RNAcentral lists this unclassified non-coding RNA (187 nucleotides) under uncultured fungus. Its description in RNAcentral is "sequence contains ITS1, 5.8S rRNA gene". Lineage: Eukaryota; Fungi. The record is from RNAcentral.
CCAGGUGCCGACUCCGGUCGUGAUGACCGUCGAGAGGCAUUCUAAACCCUCUGUGAACCAAAAAAACAUUCGCUUCGGCGGCAGCCUCGGUCGGAGACGACCCCGGCGUCAGCCCGCCGUUAGCACCAACAUCAAAAACUUGUAUUCUCAAACAUUGUCUGAUGACCAAAUUUUCGAAUGAAAAUCA